ACUCCAUGGUGUGGACAUUUCGGCUGCAAAUCCUUGAAUCUUUCCCAAGCAUCAUAAAGUGUUUUGUUGUCACGCUGCUUGAAGCCAAUGAUGUCAGUUCUCAGCUU
Non-coding RNA from Corchorus olitorius, 107 nucleotides. NCBI's taxonomy places the organism in Eukaryota, Viridiplantae, Streptophyta, Magnoliopsida, Malvales, Malvaceae. The record is from Rfam.